This 479-nucleotide ribosomal RNA is filed under the name Pyrenophora tritici-repentis. RNAcentral's name for it is "eukaryotic LSU rRNA". The stretch from base 159 to 312 matches the Rfam family "5.8S ribosomal RNA". The record is from RNAcentral. Lineage: Eukaryota; Fungi; Ascomycota; Dothideomycetes; Pleosporales; Pleosporaceae.
GGGAUAGGGCCUCGCUGCCUUGCCCGUCUGGCGCCAUAUUCACCCAUGUCUUUUUGCGUACUACUUGUUUCCUUGGCGGGUCCGCCCGCCAAUUGGACCUUAUUCAAACCUUUUUUUCAGUUGCAAUCAGCGUCAGCAAAACAAAUGUAAUCAAUUACAACUUUCAACAACGGAUCUCUUGGUUCUGGCAUCGAUGAAGAACGCAGCGAAAUGCGAUAAGUAGUGUGAAUUGCAGAAUUCAGUGAAUCAUCGAAUCUUUGAACGCACAUUGCGCCCUUUGGUAUUCCAAAGGGCAUGCCUGUUCGAGCGUCAUUUGUACCCUCAAGCUUUGCUUGGUGUUGGGCGUCUUGUCUCUCUCCCGAGACUCGCCUUAAAAUCAUUGGCAGCCGGCCUACUGGUUUCGGAGCGCAGCACAUUAUUUGCGCUCUUGUCCAGCCGCGGUCGCGCGUCCAUGAAGCUUCUUUCAACCUUUUGACCUC